UACGAAGGGGGCUAGCGUUGUUCGGAAUUACUGGGCGUAAAGCGCGCGCAGGCGGCUAUCCAAGUCAGUGGUGAAAGCCCGGAGCUCAACUCCGGAACUGCCAUUGAAACUGUUUAGCUUGAGGACGAGAGAGGUGAGUGGAAUUCCCAGUGUAGAGGUGAAAUGCGUAGAUAUCGGGAGGAACACCAGUGGCGAAGGCGAUCAUCUGGGGUUGUUCUGACGCUGAGGAGCGAAAGCUAGGGGAGCAAACGGG
Molecule: ribosomal RNA, 253 nt
Filed under: uncultured bacterium
Lineage: Bacteria
Description: partial 16S ribosomal RNA
Rfam family: Bacterial small subunit ribosomal RNA
Source: RNAcentral